ACGGAAGGCAGCAGCUAAGAAUAUUCCGCAAUGGACGGAAGUAUGACGGAGCGACGCAGCGUGGAUGAUGAAGGCCGGAAGGUUGUAAAAUCCUUUUAUAACUGAGGAAUAAGUAUGGUGAGAGAAACGCCAUAUGGUGACUGUAGGUUAUGAAUAAGCAACGGCUAAUUACGUGCCAGCAGCCGCGGUAACACGUAAGUUGCGAGCGUAGUUCGGAAUUAUUGGGCGUAAAGGGCAUGUAGGCGGUUUUGCAAGCUUGGUGUGAAAGGCAGGAGCUUAACUCCUGGACUGCGUUGAGAACUGCAUAACUAGAGUCACUGAGGGGCAAUCAGAAUUCCAGGUGUAGGGGUGAAAUCUGUAGAUAUCUGGAAGAAUACCAAUGGCGAAGGCAGGUUACCAGCAGAUGACUGACGCUGAGGUGCGAAGGUGCGGGGAGCAAACAGGAUUA
Molecule: ribosomal RNA, 448 nt
Filed under: uncultured Treponema sp.
Lineage: Bacteria; Pseudomonadati; Spirochaetota; Spirochaetia; Treponematales; Treponemataceae
Description: bacterial SSU rRNA
Rfam family: Bacterial small subunit ribosomal RNA
Source: RNAcentral